Molecule: long non-coding RNA, 325 nt
Organism: Eurytemora carolleeae
Lineage: Eukaryota; Metazoa; Arthropoda; Copepoda; Calanoida; Temoridae
Exons: 3
Source: RefSeq, a predicted model, not a curated record
CUACAGGAACUUAAUAAAAUCUAUAUUCAGGAUUUUGGCGGAGCUACGCAUGCUUUGCGUCAAACAGAGCUUGCUGGGAAACUACAGGAACUGAACAAAGUUCUCCUUGCUAAACAAGAACUAGCAGAGAAGAUGGGAGCUAACGACGAGAAGUUUGUUCUAAUGAAGAAAAUGUAUGAAGAGCAGUUAAAGACUAUGGAAGAAGAGAUGGGUAAACUGCAUCAAGAGAGAGAUAAUUUAAUGCAACAACAACGUAACGCUGGAUCCAACGCAGCUGCACUUACCGGUCAAACAUGCAAGGUCAGUAAAUACAGAAAAUAAAGAG